GGGGUUGUGGCUCAGUGGUAGAGCGCUCGCCUGACACGCGUGAGGCCCUGGGUUCAAUCCUCAACACCA
This 69-nucleotide transfer RNA is filed under the name Ictidomys tridecemlineatus (thirteen-lined ground squirrel). RNAcentral describes it as "Spermophilus tridecemlineatus (thirteen-lined ground squirrel) tRNA". It matches the Rfam family "tRNA". Rfam says of the family: Transfer RNA (tRNA) molecules are approximately 80 nucleotides in length. Their secondary structure includes four short double-helical elements and three loops (D, anti-codon, and T loops). Lineage: Eukaryota; Metazoa; Chordata; Mammalia; Rodentia; Sciuridae. The record is from Rfam by way of RNAcentral.